Long non-coding RNA from Amphiprion ocellaris (clown anemonefish), 592 nucleotides. The record is from Ensembl. NCBI's taxonomy places the organism in Eukaryota, Metazoa, Chordata, Actinopteri, Pomacentridae.
AGACACCAACCACUGAGGAGGCUUAUUUGUUUUCGUGUCUCCAGAACGUCUUGUUUCUGCAGAGGAUGAGACUCUACGAGAAUCUCAAUUUCAGUGCAGCAGAUUGGAGACAGACGAGCUGUCAGGAUGAUGGCAGAGGGAAGGCUGCAGAAAACCCAGAACGUGACUCGGACCACCCACGGAGAGGGCGGCAGGCGGAGGCUUCACGUCUUCAUCAGCGCUCCCCGGUGUCCUGACAGAUGGAGGGAACAGAGCGGCAGCGUUCGGCAGCCGGAGGACGACAACCUACUCUGAAACCACACAAACUGGAGGCCCAAACCUCCAACACAAACACAGUGUGGAGGAGGCAAAUCUGGUGAAGUCGCAAAGCAUGAGCACAUACAGAAGUUUUAACGCUGCUUCUUAACAUAAGAAUCUGAUUUAAUUAGAUUAUUAAGGGACAAAAGAUUUCCUCAUUCAUAGUGUUUCUGUUUAUAACUCAGAUGUUGGAUCGACCCUGUUAGAUUACGGUUAAUUAUCAUGUUUUUCUUCUGUUCUUAAGUUUCCUAUUCUAGAAAGCACAAACACAUCUGUGCAGCUUUCUAUAAAAGCA